GAUUAUUCAUACCUACUAUAAUCAUUACAAUAUAAAUAUUUGGUCUAGCAAAUUUAAUCAAUUUAUUCACACACCAUUAAAAAUACACUUAUAUAUAUACCUAAAGUUACGUAUUAAAUGGAAAAGUAGUAGUCAAUAUUUGAAUAACUUAAUUAUUGAUCAUUUAAUGUCAUCCAUGGUUUAACAUUAAAAGCAGAUUCUUAGUAACUAUGUCUAAUCAUAUAAUUACAUUUUAUAAUUUAAUAAGUAAUCACAUCUAAAUGUUUAAUACAAUUCAAUAUGGCCAAAUAUACCAAUAAUAAACAUGUACAUAUUGCGCAGCCAACUAAGCUAAUAUAUA
This 340-nucleotide long non-coding RNA is filed under the name Gossypium barbadense (sea-island cotton). Its description in RNAcentral is "long non-coding RNA (GBAR_LNC012344)". Lineage: Eukaryota; Viridiplantae; Streptophyta; Magnoliopsida; Malvales; Malvaceae. The record is from RNAcentral.